RNAcentral lists this ribosomal RNA (381 nucleotides) under uncultured bacterium. Its description in RNAcentral is "bacterial SSU rRNA". It matches the Rfam family "Bacterial small subunit ribosomal RNA", at positions 521 to 896 of the family's 1533-position model. The record is from RNAcentral.
UAAUACGUAGGGGUCGAGCGUUGUCCGGACUUACUGGGCGUAAAGCGUGGGUAGGUGGUCGGUGAUGUGCCGUGUGAAAGCCCCGCGUUCAUCGGGGGGAGGUCGCGGUAGACACAUUGACUUGAGGCAUGCAGAGGGCAGUGGAAUUCCCGGUGUAGUGGUGAAAUGCGUAGAUAUCGGGAGGAACACCAGUGGCGCAAGCGGCUGCCUGGGCAUGACCUGACACUGAGCCACGACGGCGUGGGGAGCAAACGGGAUUAGAUACCCCGGUAGUCCACGCAGUAAACGAUGCAUACCCGGUGUGUGGUGGGUCUUAAAGCCCGCUGCGUGCCUGAGCUUACGCGAUGAGUAUGCCGCCUGGGGACUACGAGCGCAAGCUUA